RNAcentral lists this ribosomal RNA (630 nucleotides) under Bacillus sp. (in: firmicutes). RNAcentral's name for it is "bacterial SSU rRNA". It matches the Rfam family "Bacterial small subunit ribosomal RNA", at positions 116 to 732 of the family's 1533-position model. The record is from RNAcentral. Lineage: Bacteria; Bacillati; Bacillota; Bacilli; Caryophanales; Bacillaceae.
CGUGGGUAACCUGCCUGUAAGACUGGGAUAACUCCGGGAAACCGGAGCUAAUACCGGAUAGUUCCUUGAACCGCAUGGUUCAAGGAUGAAAGACGGUUUCGGCUGUCACUUACAGAUGGACCCGCGGCGCAUUAGCUAGUUGGUGAGGUAACGGCUCACCAAGGCGACGAUGCGUAGCCGACCUGAGAGGGUGAUCGGCCACACUGGGACUGAGACACGGCCCAGACUCCUACGGGAGGCAGCAGUAGGGAAUCUUCCGCAAUGGACGAAAGUCUGACGGAGCAACGCCGCGUGAGUGAUGAAGGUUUUCGGAUCGUAAAGCUCUGUUGUUAGGGAAGAACAAGUGCAAGAGUAACUGCUUGCACCUUGACGGUACCUAACCAGAAAGCCACGGCUAACUACGUGCCAGCAGCCGCGGUAAUACGUAGGUGGCAAGCGUUGUCCGGAAUUAUUGGGCGUAAAGGGCUCGCAGGCGGUUUCUUAAGUCUGAUGUGAAAGCCCCCGGCUCAACCGGGGAGGGUCAUUGGAAACUGGGAAACUUGAGUGCAGAAGAGGAGAGUGGAAUUCCACGUGUAGCGGUGAAAUGCGUAGAGAUGUGGAGGAACACCAGUGGCGAAGGCGACUCUCUGG